This 299-nucleotide ribosomal RNA is filed under the name uncultured bacterium. RNAcentral describes it as "partial 16S ribosomal RNA". It matches the Rfam family "Bacterial small subunit ribosomal RNA", at positions 335 to 651 of the family's 1533-position model. The record is from RNAcentral.
GGUCCUACGGGGGGCAGCAGUGGGGAAUAUUGCACAAUGGGGGAAACCCUGAUGCAGCGACGCCGCGUGAGCGAAGAAGUAUUUCGGUAUGUAAGGCUCUAUCAGCAGGGAAGAAAGUGACGGUACCUGACUAAGAAGCCCCGGCUAACUACGUGCCAGCAGCCGCGGUAAUACGUAGGGGGCAAGCGUUAUCCGGAAUCACUGGGUGUAAAGGGAGCGUAGACGGCUGUGCAAGCCUGAAGUGAAAGGCGGGGGCCCAACCCCCGGACUGCUUUGGGAACUGUACGGCUGGAGUGCGG